Molecule: ribosomal RNA, 252 nt
Filed under: uncultured Fusobacteriaceae bacterium
Lineage: Bacteria; Fusobacteriati; Fusobacteriota; Fusobacteriia; Fusobacteriales; Fusobacteriaceae
Description: partial 16S ribosomal RNA
Rfam family: Bacterial small subunit ribosomal RNA
Source: RNAcentral
UACGUAUGUCGCAAGCGUUAUCCGGAUUUAUUGGGCGUAAAGCGCGUCUAGGUGGUUUGAUAAGUCUGAUGUGAAAAUGCGGAGCUCAACUCCGUAUUGCGUUGGAAACUGCCAAACUAGAGUAUCGGAGAGGUGGGCGGAACUACAAGUGUAGAGGUGAAAUUCGUAGAUAUUUGUAGGAAUGCCGAUAGAGAAGUCAGCUCACUGGACGAAUACUGACACUGAAGCGCGAAAGCAUGGGGAGCAAACAGG